Long non-coding RNA from Pipistrellus kuhlii (Kuhl's pipistrelle), 986 nucleotides. RefSeq lists it as uncharacterized. Lineage: Eukaryota; Metazoa; Chordata; Mammalia; Chiroptera; Vespertilionidae. The transcript is spliced from 2 exons. The record is from RefSeq and is a predicted model, not a curated record.
CUGACCACUUUCCAGUCGUCCAUCUGCACUGCGGAGACGCCAAGCUGGUGUGCCGAGAACGACAGGGCGGUCUUGCUGGUGCGGAGGUCAUGGAUCCUCACCCUGGAAGGCCCGAGGUGAGCAGAGAAAAGGACUGAAGAGUGAGCAACCUGUAGCUAUUCUGAAAGAAAGUGCUGUAGCAAAAGCCCGAGGGCUGUGAGGAGCCAACACACAGGCCACGCAGUGACGCAGAGAACUAACACUGAGCUUAGGAUAAAAGGACAGUGGCUUAAGUAAGACCGAAACUGUCUGCCGGUCAGCAAAUACACACAGAGCAAACCCACCUAGAAGAGUUCAAACGGGUCAAAAAGUAAAACUCAAUAUAUGCUACACUCAAAUGCCAUGGUUGUAGGUGCAAGGAAGAGGUAGUAAUUUUAACACCAGAAAAGGGAUUUCGGAGCACAAAGAUGAGGUGAGAGUACUUUAGAAUGAUAAGGGUACAAUUCACUACAUGUUCAGUAAAACUUGCCUGGAAAAAUAACCCAGAAAACCUUCAUGGACCUCAUUGUUUAAUUUGAUUUCUUUGGUCUUUAUAAUCUAUUCAGGUUUUCUAUUUAACUGUUUAAAUCUCCAAAUUUGAAGAUAGAGAUGAAUACAAGACUUUCCAAGAAUGACCAAAGUAACCAAGAGCACUCUGGGCCAGCUGUCCCGCCCGGAAGGAGCAGCCCCGGGGUGUGGCCCGCCUCGCCUCGCAGGAGAGAGGAAAGCUUCCAAACCCACAUGGAGCCAGCGUUCUCUUCCAAGAAGCCAGGCGAAGAGAGCACCGGGAAGGAGCAAUCGAUCGGCAUCAAGGCUAAGACCUGAAUGAAAUAUUAACUAACAGAAUCCACCCAACUCCUGUUAGACAAUCCACCUACUAUUGUAACAAACAAGAAAAACACACGGUCACUCCCAGGGAUGCUGAAACGAAAUCUGAUGAAAUCAAACAUUUAUUCCUAAUAAAAAGU